Atta colombica is the source of this 444-nucleotide long non-coding RNA. RefSeq lists it as uncharacterized. The record is from RefSeq and is a predicted model, not a curated record. The transcript is spliced from 3 exons. Lineage: Eukaryota; Metazoa; Arthropoda; Insecta; Hymenoptera; Formicidae.
UGAUCUCUGUGCAUUUUCAUCAGAUCCCACUAUGUGUCUUUUCUCUUCAUUUCAAAGUGUGGAACAACAUCAACUGUCAAGCAAAUGAUUUUAAGAAUUGAUUAGAGAAAAACAGAAUAAUUCCAUAAAUGCCCUGAAGAUUCCGCCGCUAUAUGUUGGUCUCCUACUCAUUCCAAUGAACGCGUUAAAGUGAGUAGGAGUUAGGGUAGGAGCAUGCGACGCGAACAAACGUUGGUAGUACUAAGUAGUACAUGAUAAAAAGAGACCAAACCUAAAUGAUGUGCGUGUGACGAAGACAACAACAAGGUUGGCUAAAUUGGAUCUACAAACGAUCAUUGUAUAAAAAAGAAAGCAGAGAAUUAGAGAGAGAUGCUUGCAAACUGAGCACACCAUGUAAUCCUUUCACCAUUUUAUGACAACUUGAAUUGGAACUUUUAUGACAAC